AACGAACGCUGGCGGCAUGCCUAACACAUGCAAGUCGAACGAGACCUUCGGGUCUAGUGGCGCACGGGUGCGUAACGCGUGGGAACCUGCCCUUAGGUUCGGAAUAACUCCCCGAAAGGGGUGCUAAUACCGGAUAAUGUCUUCGGACCAAAGAUUUAUCGCCUUUGGAUGGGCCCGCGUUGGAUUGGCUAGUUGGUAGGGUAAAAGCCUACCAAGGCGACGAUCCAUAGCUGGUCUGAGAGGAUGAUCAGCCACACUGGGACUGAGACACGGCCCAGACUCCUACGGGAGGCAGCAGUAGGGAAUAUUGGACAAUGGGCAAAAGCCUGAUCCAGCAAUGCCGCGUGAGUGAUGAAGGCCUUAGGGUUGUAAAGCUCUUUUACCCGGGAUGAUAAUGACAGUACCGGGAGAAUAAGCUCCGGCUAACUCCGUG
RNAcentral lists this ribosomal RNA (433 nucleotides) under uncultured bacterium. RNAcentral's name for it is "partial 16S ribosomal RNA". It matches the Rfam family "Bacterial small subunit ribosomal RNA", at positions 29 to 507 of the family's 1533-position model. The record is from RNAcentral.